RNAcentral lists this long non-coding RNA (2731 nucleotides) under Capsicum annuum. Its description in RNAcentral is "long non-coding RNA (CANN_LNC006621)". The record is from RNAcentral. Lineage: Eukaryota; Viridiplantae; Streptophyta; Magnoliopsida; Solanales; Solanaceae.
UGCAAAGCCAGUUUUUACCGACUUAACUAACGAUUUAACUAGGUUCGCAAAGAACAUAAGGAAAAAAAACAAAAGGAACAGGGGGGAAGAGGAGGAAGUAAGGGAUUUAGGCCAUUAGCCCAAACCAACAAAACCUGGCCUAGUCUAGUUGAGCCUUCGACCCAUUUCACCUGUCCUAAUUUAGUUUUUGAACCUUUGGCUCGAAUCUUGCUCCACCUGUAUUAAAUACAACUUUGGCUUCGAGGCCCAAAUAAAUAAUGAACUAAAAAUGAAUAAAUAAACAAAUAAAGGCAACAAUAAAUCAAUAAGUAAGUAAAUAGAGACUUUCUAGUCUCUUUCCGCUUCAAAAAUGGGAUCUUAACUCAUUCUUCUUCUUUCGACGCCUUGUAUCCAUGCGCUAUUCACCCGGCUUUGGGAUUUCUUUCGGCUUGACUCAAAAAGAAGGGUCGUAUUGGCCCAUUAUGAGAUACAAGGGAAAGGAGCCCAUUUGGACUCCAAGGUGGGUUAAUGUAAAGAAAAUAUAAAGAAAAUUAAUAUGUAUUCUAAAUUUGCAACUAACACAUAGGACGUAAAAUGAUUCAUGUAUGGAAAGAGAUAUUUACCAACCAAAGAAAAUAAGAGAUAAAUUAUCAUCAAUCAAAAGUUGGCCAUCUAAAUUAAUCGUUGAACACUUGAACAAUUAACAAUAAAGCAUCAUGACAUGAAAUUUGCUCGAAAAGAAAAAAAAAGAAACUAAUCACAGUUAAAAGGACACAACAGCAAGAAAAUAACAAAAUAGGACUGUUGUUCAAAAAGUAGAGAUUGGGGAUCAUUUCUAUUAACCCAAAUAGUCCCCAAAUUCAAGGUCAAUCAGACGGUCUGUUUGCCACCCUCUUAAGAGUAUCCUAUUGCCAGAUAAACAUAAGGAUAUUACAUUGACCUGGGGCUACUAAGUCUCAAUUCUCCUAUUUAAACUCUCGUUGCAGCAGACAUUUAUGAUCCAUCUAAACCAUAAAUUUUAAGUAAAGCUUUUUGCCAAAUAAAUUAUCUAGUUUUAGCAUAAUCAAAUAGCCAUUCAAGAAAUACUCGUAAGUUACAAACAUUAGGCUGAAAAUAUGUGAUAUGUUAAAUCAAAUAGUAAUAAAACUUGAACAAGAUAACGAGCGCAAACCAACGGAAACAUUUAGAUAAUCUAGAAAAGGGGAAAGAAAAAAAAUAAUCCAUUUGAGUAAACAAUAUUCACAGAUGAAAAAUUGUGACUACAAAGAAUAUCAAUGGAUUUUAUGACAUCUAUGCAAGAUGAACAUCAACAUAAAAAUCGAUAUUACGACAUUAAGAAAAUAUUAACACAUCGAUGGUGAUCUUUUAAACAAAACAAAGAAUCUAUGUGACAUAUCCUUUAUCCUUCCUUGAUAUUUUUAGCCAUUAGGAACAUUUAGGAAUGAUCUUACUCAACCACGAAAAUCGAAGGACAAACACGUAGACUACUAAAAUACAAAACAUGAGACUGAUGUAUUGAGCUUAAAACCAAACCGAAGAAUAAUAAAUUAAAGGAAAACUUUACAUUCGAAUCUCAUUGAGCAAAAUCAAUACUAAAUUAACAUUCUAAACCUUAACAUGAACAUUAUUAAGUCAUACAAUGAACCCAACCAUCAACAACAGGAAGGCGGGACAUCCACAACACAGUAUACGCUAACAGAGAAGUUAAUGGCUGACUAACAACCUUAAUACAAAAUGAGCGACUCCAGACAGACGAGAAUAACUACGGGAUCAAUAAUGGAGCAGAUUUUUCACAUCAUACCAGCAGAAUAACAAUACCACAACAAUUUCAAAACAAGUUCUACGGCCUUCACAGCCUCUACAAUACACAAUCCCAGCCUCAUUCACGACUAUAAUUAAACGACCAACCAAUUCUAUGGAGAAAAGGGAUGAAGGAUAAAAUGAUGACAUUAAAGAGGCGAGAGUGUGUUUACCUCUUGAGGAGCAGCAAAACAAAAUUACGAGUUGACGCCGGAUUUCACCACCACCGGAGAUGCGUUGUAGCCAACUUCGAAACUUCGAUUAGCAAACCAAUUUUUGGAAAAAAAAUUUGCACUAAGAAGAAAGAUUGAAUUUUUGCUCACAAGUUUUCCCUUCCUCUUUUCUAUCUUUCAGUUUUUUCACCCUCAGAAAUUUCUCAGAAAAUGUCUCUACCCACAGCUUUCCACAACCCCAAUUUUUGAACCCUCGAUUUUCAAAGCCAAAAUAAAUCCUAAAAUUAGUGAACCCACAGAGAAAAUUUUGUCCCCCCUUUCACUACCUAAUAUAGCCCUUUUAUAGAGAAAUCGGCUAGGGCUUCUUUUGGGGGUAUGUUAGGGAUUUUCGAUGGAGAUAUUUUGUUAUUCAAAAAUUAAAAUCCCCCAAGCUCCCUCUUUCAACCCCAGUUAGCACCAAAUCUUGGACUCUUUUAAAAAGAUUAAGAAUCGGGGACCAAUCGGUUUUGAGAAAAACAAAUUGUCCUCAAGAACCAAUGAGAUUCGUCCAAAAAUAUACGAAAUUGUACUAUUGUUACCGAGAUUUAUGGGAUUGAUCCGUUGGGGGGAGAUAGCUCAUCCGAUCUUAGAAACUUCGAGGGUUUUCUCGCAUAAAUUCACGCGUGACGGAGUGAGUUGAGUUCAAUUAUUGUCGGGUCGAGGUUGUUCUGACGGAUACGGGUUAAUGGGUCAAUUUGGAUGGAUUUUGGUCGUUGAGUUGAGAGGCUUAUCCUAUUUCU